GGUUCCUUCGUCUAAUGGUAGGACAUUACCUUUUCACGGUAAGAAUAUGAGUUCAAUUCUCAUAGGAAUCA
Non-coding RNA from Cafeteria roenbergensis, 71 nucleotides. The record is from the annotation of a GenBank genome assembly. Lineage: Eukaryota; Bigyra; Bicosoecida; Cafeteriaceae.